GGCGACGUAGCUCAGUGGGAGAGCGGUAGUCUUACACACUACUGGUCAAUGGUUCAAAUCCGUUCGUCGUCA
RNAcentral lists this transfer RNA (72 nucleotides) under Spirochaetales bacterium. RNAcentral describes it as "tRNA-Val". It matches the Rfam family "tRNA". Rfam says of the family: Transfer RNA (tRNA) molecules are approximately 80 nucleotides in length. Their secondary structure includes four short double-helical elements and three loops (D, anti-codon, and T loops). The record is from RNAcentral. Lineage: Bacteria; Pseudomonadati; Spirochaetota; Spirochaetia; Spirochaetales.